This 197-nucleotide non-coding RNA is filed under the name Lachnospiraceae bacterium. RNAcentral's name for it is "6S RNA". It matches the Rfam family "6S / SsrS RNA". From Rfam's summary of the family: E. coli 6S RNA was the first non coding RNA to be sequenced, but its function was unknown until recently. It consists of 184 nucleotides that fold into an extended hairpin structure with a large single-stranded internal bulge. The 6S RNA specifically associates with RNA polymerase holoenzyme containing the sigma70 specificity factor. Lineage: Bacteria; Bacillati; Bacillota; Clostridia; Lachnospirales; Lachnospiraceae. The record is from RNAcentral.
UAUAACCUGAAAUGUUCGAUAACUCCUAUGUUUUUGAACCUACAGUUACUUUAAACGGGAUUCCUAUAUUGCCAUAUGGAUGUCAAGCCUCCCGAGGAUUUAUCCCGAUGCAGGGGAAGGCAGAAGUAUCGGUUGCGGUCACCCACCUAGCAGAAUGCUAGGAGUCAAAAAAUAGGAACCGGCAUUUUGGGGUACAU